This 974-nucleotide ribosomal RNA is filed under the name Myxobolus sp. a IH-2017. RNAcentral's name for it is "SSU rRNA". It matches the Rfam family "Eukaryotic small subunit ribosomal RNA", at positions 458 to 1275 of the family's 1831-position model. The record is from RNAcentral. Lineage: Eukaryota; Metazoa; Cnidaria; Myxozoa; Bivalvulida; Myxobolidae.
UGGGAGGUGGUGACGAGAGUACUUUGCCACGGAGGGGGGGCUGAUGAGGCACAUAGAACUCGCACGAGAAAGGGGGGGAAAGUCUGGUGCCCAGCAGCCCGCGGUAAUUCCCAGCUUCCAGUAGUGUACCCUUGAUGCUUGUUGGGUUUAAAAACGCUUGGUAGUUGAAUCACGAAAGUGGUGGUCGGCUCAAUCGGCCCUUGCCGAACCAUAAAAAACCGGCUCCCAUAGCUGGCUCGCAUGUGCUAUCAUGGCGGGCUGCGGUGUGUGGAUCGGCGUUCGGCUGGGUCGCAUGUUAACGCCGGCCCGCCACUAAUUGCGUGUGAGGAUGGCAGUUGACCCUUUAGUGCGUCGACUACCCGUGUCUCACAGGGUGUGCCUUGAAUAAAUCAGAGUGCUUAACAGCAGGCCCCCUCGCCUGAAUGAUAAAGCAUGGAACGAACAAACGUGGAAUAGUACAGCGUGCGGCUGUCCGGUCUGUCUCUGGCAGACUGCGGUCAGUCGGCGUUGUACAGCACCAACCACCAGUAUCGGCAUGUUGGUUCUCCGUAUUGGGGUAAUGAUUAAAGAGGAGCGGUUGGAGGCAUUGGUAUUUGGCCGCGAGAGGUGAAAUUCUUGGACCGGCCAAGGACUAACAAAUGCGAAGGCAUCUGCCUAGACCGUUUCCAUUAAUCAAGAACGAUAGUGGGCAGGUUCGAAGACGAUCAGAUACCGUCCUAGUUCCCACCGUAAACUAUGCCGACUCGGGAUCAGUUUGGUGAUAUUACCUUCACGCUCGAGAUUGGUCCCCCUGGGAAACCUUAAGUCUUUCGGUUACGGGGGGAGUAUGGUCGCAAGGCUGAAACUUAAAGGAAUUGACGGAAGGGCACCACCUCAGGUUUGAGCCUGCGGCUUAAUUUGACUCAACCGGGACACGCCCCCCUCCUACAUCGAUAGGAUAGACAGACUGAUAGAUCUUUCUUGAUACGGUGAAU